CUUACGGGUGGCAGCAGUGAGGAAUAUUGGUCAAUGGGCGCGAGCCUGAACCAGCCAAGUAGCGUGAAGGAUGACUGCCCUACGGGUUGUAAACUUCUUUUAUAAAGGAAUAAAGUGAGGCACGUGUGCCUUUUUGUAUGUACUUUAUGAAUAAGGAUCGGCUAACUACGUGCCAGCAGCCGCGGUAAUACGGAGGGUCCGAGCGUUAUCCGGAUUUAUUGGGUUUAAAGGGAGCGUAGAUGGGUUGUUAAGUCAGUUGUGAAAGUUUGCGGCUCAACCGUAAAAUUGCAUUGGAUUCUGGGAGUCUUGAGUACAGAUGAGGAGUGUGGAAUUCGUUGUGUAGCGGUGAAAUGCGUAGAUAUCAGGAAGAACACC
Molecule: ribosomal RNA, 375 nt
Filed under: uncultured bacterium
Lineage: Bacteria
Description: partial 16S ribosomal RNA
Rfam family: Bacterial small subunit ribosomal RNA
Source: RNAcentral